CGUCAACUUGUGAACUGCAGGACACAUGAACAUCGACAUUUCGAACGCACAUUGCGGUCCUCGGAUACUGUUCCCGGACCACUCCUGGCUGAGGGUCGUAU
Molecule: ribosomal RNA, 101 nt
Filed under: Timarcha geniculata
Lineage: Eukaryota; Metazoa; Arthropoda; Insecta; Coleoptera; Chrysomelidae
Also listed under: 1 other name
Description: partial 5.8S ribosomal RNA
Rfam family: 5.8S ribosomal RNA
About the family: 5.8S ribosomal RNA (5.8S rRNA) is a component of the large subunit of the eukaryotic ribosome.
Source: RNAcentral